Molecule: ribosomal RNA, 539 nt
Filed under: Betta prima
Lineage: Eukaryota; Metazoa; Chordata; Actinopteri; Anabantiformes; Osphronemidae
Description: partial 16S ribosomal RNA
Rfam family: Bacterial large subunit ribosomal RNA
Source: RNAcentral
CGCCUGCCCUGUGACAAAGGUUUAACGGCCGCGGUAUUUUGACCGUGCAAAGGUAGCGCAAUCACUUGUCUUUUAAAUGAAGACCUGUAUGAAUGGCAUGACGAAGGCUUAACUGUCUCCUUUUUCCAGUCAAUGAAAUUGAUCUUCCCGUGCAGAAGCGGGAAUACAACCAUAAGACGAGAAGACCCUAUGGAGCUUUAGACACAAGACAGAUCUUGUCAAACACCUCAAAAUAAAGAAAAAAACUAAAAGAACCCUGUCCUAUUGUCUUUGGUUGGGGCGACCACGGGGGAACAAAUAACCCCCACGCGGACUGAGAAAACAAUUCUCACAACCAAGAGCUACAGCUCUAAUUAACAGAAAUUCUGACCUCAAGAUCCGGCAAUGCCGAUCAACGGACCGAGUUACCCUAGGGAUAACAGCGCAAUCCCCUUUUAGAGUUCAUAUCGACAAGGGGGUUUACGACCUCGAUGUUGGAUCAGGACAUCCUAAUGGUGCAGCAGCUAUUAAGGGUUCGUUUGUUCAACGAUUAAAGUCCU